CCCUUAGAUGUUCUGGGCCGCACGCGCGCUACACUGACGAUGGCAACGAGUUUUUCCUUCGCCGAAAGGUGUGGGUAAUCUUUUGAAACAUCGUCGUGCUGGGGAUAGAUCAUUGCAAUUUUUGAUCUUGAACGAGGAAUUCCUAGUAAGCGCGAGUCAUCAGCUCGCGUUGAUUACGUCCCUGCCCUUUGUACACACCGCCCGUCGCUACUACCAAUUGAAUGGUUUAGUGAGGACUCCUGAUUGGCGCCGCCGCCCCGGCAACGGAGCAGCGGACUGCCGAAAAGUUGUUCAAACUUGAUCAUUUAGAGGAAGUAAAAGUCGUAACA
RNAcentral lists this ribosomal RNA (329 nucleotides) under uncultured eukaryote. RNAcentral's name for it is "partial 18S ribosomal RNA". It matches the Rfam family "Eukaryotic small subunit ribosomal RNA", at positions 1470 to 1796 of the family's 1831-position model. The record is from RNAcentral.